UGAGGAACAUGACUUUCGGCGGGGGAUAGCCGGCCCAACGGCCGGGUAAUACCGCGUACGACCACUUGGGGACAUCCUCGAGUGAUGAAAGCAGCAAUGCGCCGAUGAAGUGCCUCGCGGCCUAUCAGCUAGUUGGUGUGGGUAAUGGCCCACCAAGGCGACGACGGGUAGCCGGCCUGAGAGGGUGACCGGCCACACUGGGACUGAGACACGGCCCAGACCUCCUACGGGGAGGNAG
RNAcentral lists this ribosomal RNA (238 nucleotides) under uncultured bacterium. Its description in RNAcentral is "partial 16S ribosomal RNA". It matches the Rfam family "Bacterial small subunit ribosomal RNA", at positions 118 to 351 of the family's 1533-position model. The record is from RNAcentral.